CCUACGGGGGGCAGCAGUGAGGAAUAUUGGUCAAUGGACGAGAGUCUGAACCAGCAAAGUAGCGUGAAGGAUGACUGCCCUCUGGGUGGAAAACUUCUUUUAUAUGGGAAUAAAAUGUUCCACGUGCGGGAGUUUGUAUGUACCAUAUGAAUAAGCAUCGGCGAACUCCGUGCCAGCAGCCGCGGUAAUACGGAGGAUCCGAGCGUUAUCCGGAUUUAUUGGGUUUAUAGGGAGCGUAGGUGGGUUGUUAAGUCAGUUGGGAAAGUUUGGGGCUCAACAGUAACACUGCAGUUGAAACUGGCAGACGUGAGUACAGUAGAGGUGGGCGGAAUUCGUGGUGUAGCGGUGAAAUGCUUAGAUAUCACGAAGAACACCGGUUGCGAAGGCGGUUCACUGGACUGCAACUGACACUGAGGCUCGAAAGUGUGGGUAUCAAACAGGAUUAGAUACCCCUGUAGUC
RNAcentral lists this ribosomal RNA (460 nucleotides) under uncultured bacterium. Its description in RNAcentral is "partial 16S ribosomal RNA". It matches the Rfam family "Bacterial small subunit ribosomal RNA", at positions 338 to 795 of the family's 1533-position model. The record is from RNAcentral.